Engraulis encrasicolus (European anchovy) is the source of this 529-nucleotide long non-coding RNA. RefSeq lists it as uncharacterized. The record is from RefSeq and is a predicted model, not a curated record. Lineage: Eukaryota; Metazoa; Chordata; Actinopteri; Clupeiformes; Engraulidae. The transcript has 2 exons.
GCUUAAUACAAAUACCACUUCCAACGGAAAGAAGUGUGUCACCUGUGUUACACCAGCAGACUGUACAAAGCCAAUAUUCUGUGAGGGAAAUGAGGAUCACUGCAUGAAAACAGCACUUGAUCUGGACAAACUGAAGAUCACUGCAAAAGGAUGUGCCUCAAGUAGUAUUUGCAGAGCUAACUUGUCGGCACAGUUGGGCUCCAUGUCUGAAGACUUGAGCUGCUGUGAGGGGAACCUGUGCAAUGGUGACAGGAAUCUGAACCAAGGUGCCAAGCAUGUGGGAGUCCUGUUGGGGUCUGUCGUCUCUGUCCUGCUGUUUCACUGAAGCAUGAGCCCUUCAAAGCAUCUCCCAGCAACACCUGCCCUCCCCUGCCUGGAUAUGGAGGCUGACAUUGUCAUUAUAUCAAUUAUAAUACUUUGCUUGGAUUAAUUAAUAUCUGCAUGAUUUAUUUGACUGAGGCUAGAACUGAGGCUUGAGUGUUGUUGUGAAAAUAAAUGAUCCCUUUUAUGUACAUUUAUUGUUCACAUU